Molecule: ribosomal RNA, 542 nt
Filed under: Pelophylax ridibundus (marsh frog)
Lineage: Eukaryota; Metazoa; Chordata; Amphibia; Anura; Ranidae
Description: partial 16S ribosomal RNA
Rfam family: Bacterial large subunit ribosomal RNA
Source: RNAcentral
GCCUGCCCAGUGACAAAGUUYAACGGCCGCGGUACCCUAACCGUGCGAAGGUAGCAUAAUCACUUGUUCUUUAAAUAGGGACUCGUAUCAACGGCAUCACGAGGGCUAUACUGUCUCCUUUCUCCAAUCAGUGAAACUGAUCUUCCCGUGAAGAAGCGGGAAUUAUCAUAUAAGACGAGAAGACCCCAUGGAGCUUUAAACUCAAUAUAUAUUUCUACGCAUUUAUAUCACUAUAGCCCAAGAAAAUUAUAUGUUGGUUUUGGGUUGGGGGGACCGCGGAGAAAAAAUUAACCUCCACGACAAAUAGGCCAACGCCUUUAUCUACGAACCACAAUUCUAAGAAUCAAUAAACUGAUGUUUAAUGAUCCAAUUUUUUUGAUCAACGAACCAAGUUACCCUGGGGAUAACAGCGCAAUCUACUUCAAGAGCUCCUAUCGACAAGUGGGUUUACGACCUCGAUGUUGGAUCAGGGUAUCCUAGUGGUGCAGCCGCUACUAAAGGUUCGUUUGUUCAACGAUUAAAACCCUACGUGAUCUGAGUUC